Molecule: ribosomal RNA, 241 nt
Filed under: Chloropicon mariensis
Lineage: Eukaryota; Viridiplantae; Chlorophyta; Chloropicophyceae; Chloropicales; Chloropicaceae
Description: partial Bacterial small subunit ribosomal RNA
Rfam family: Bacterial small subunit ribosomal RNA
Source: RNAcentral
UAUGUAUCUUCUAUCAGCAGGGAAGAAAAUGACGGUACCUGACUAAGAAGCCCCGGCUAACUACGUGCCAGCAGCCGCGGUAAUACGUAGGGGGCAAGCGUUAUCCGGAUUUACUGGGUGUAAAGGGAGCGUAGACGGCAUGGCAAGCCAGAUGUGAAAGCCCGGGGCUCAACCCCGGGACUGCAUUUGGAACUGUCAGGCUAGAGUGUCGGAGAGGAAAGCGGAAUUCCUAGUGUAGCGG